Molecule: long non-coding RNA, 1362 nt
Filed under: Vulpes vulpes (red fox)
Lineage: Eukaryota; Metazoa; Chordata; Mammalia; Carnivora; Canidae
Description: lncRNA (ENSVVUG00000002724.1)
Source: RNAcentral
GAAGGCAAUCUAACCUGCAGGGUGGGAAGAGGGCUGUUGUGGUUGUGAAGAUUUAAUGAGAUAAUACAUGUAACAAGUUCUUACCAAGUGUUAGUUAUGAUGUUCACGAGGAGGUUGGCUUCAACGACAGGGUGAUAAAGGGAAGCCUAGAAGGAAAGUGUGAGAAGAGAGCAUGGCAAGUCUGUUACUGGCCCCACAUCCAGGGCCACAAUACUUUUAUGCACCUCAGGCACUUUUGCCUUUGUAGGUUCCUCCUCUAUAUAAAAUAUUAAAAAUUCUAUGACCACAUGACUUUAUAAAGGGGUACAGAAUCCCUACUGGAUUUGUUAUGAUAUGUUCAAUAUUGUCCUAUUCAAUUUUUCUUGUGAUUUGAAAAAUAUCACCACUGAUAUUUAAUUAAAAGGGCCUCUAGAAAUCUUGUGGCUCCUAGCCAAGGUGUCCGCUGUGCCUAACGGCUAAGUCAGCCCCGGGCCCGGCGCUCUGCUUACUGUUCCUUGGACCCACAGUGCCCUUCUGUCCUUCUCGGUGGCACCGUUCCUUCAGCCUGGCGUGUCUGUCCCUCAUGCCACCCCCACCCCCUGUCCUCAUCCACCUGACAGAUUCCUGCUCAUCCUCAAGGCUCAGCUCAAAUGUCACGUUCUCCUGCCAGUGUUAGCAAAUUAAAACGCAGGGUGCCCAGUUGAAUUUCAGAUAAACAAAGAGUAAUCAUUUUAAUAGAGGUAUGUCCCAAAUAUUGCAUGUCCCAAAUCUUGCACAAAGCAUAGUUCUAUUAAGUAGCUUCAUGUUUAUCUGAAAUUCAAAUGACCCUACCCUGUAACUGUCCCUGGCUCAUUUUCCUUUCAGGUUUUCUUCUCACCUGCUGCCGGCUGGGCCAUUCUAGCUCACUCUGUGCACCUGUCACCAUACAUCCUCCACCCCAGUCUGCAUUCUCAGCAUUGUUACCCUCACCUGCCAUGGGGCCAGGAUGUGGCCAUGCAUUCGUUGUCACACAUGACACUGGCCACAGAGGAGAAAACCAGCCUGGGCUGAUCUCAUGGACAUAAGCCACAGGAGACUGUCAGAGCCUGGUGACCGGGCUCCUAAUCCAGUGCUCACAUGGUUCUCGGCAGCAAGAAUUCAGAGCCUGGAGCUCCGCUGAAGCAGCAUUCCCUGCGAGAACCACUGCAAGGGGAAUCAAUCCCUCAAGACCACGGAGUGGCCAAAGCACUCCGUGAUUCAAAACAAUUCGAGCCUGCGGAGGAUUUUCAGUAAGCAUGGUGAAAGUUCUCUUUUUUAUUGCUAGGAAUUUCCCAGCUUUCAACACAUUCUCCCUUACGUGAGAGACAUUCAUUUUCACAUUCUCCCUUUGGAAAGGAAAUUUCC